AGUCGAACGGUGAAGAGGAGCUUGCUCCUUGGAUCAGUGGCGAACGGGUGAGUAACACGUGAGCAAUCUGCCCUUGACUCUGGGAUAACUGCGGGAAACUGUAGCUAAUACCGGAUAUUACCUUGGAAGGCAUCUUCUGGGGUGGAAAGAAUUUUGGUCAAGGAUGAGCUCGCGGCCUAUCAGCUAGUUGGUGAGGUAAUGGCUCACCAAGGCGACGACGGGUAGCCGGCCUGAGAGGGUGACCGGCCACACUGGGACUGAGACACGGCCCAGACUCCUACGGGAGGCAGCAGUGGGGAAUAUUGCACAAUGGGCGCAAGCCUGAUGCAGCAACGCCGCGUGAGGGACGACGGCCUUCGGGCUGUAAACCUCUUUUAGUAGGGAAGAAGCGACUGGGUUUUCCUGGAAGUGACGGUACCUGCAGAAAAAGCACCGGCUAACUACGUGCCAGCAGCCGCGGUAAUACGUAGGGUGCAAGCGUUGUCCGGAAUUAUUGGGCGUAAAGAGCUCGUAGGCGGUUUGUCGCGUCUGCUGUGAAAACCCGAGGCUCAACCUCGGGCCUGCAGUGGGUACGGGCAGACUAGAGUGCGGUAGGGGAGAUUGGAAUUCCUGGUGUAGCGGUGGAAUGCGCAGAUAUCAGGAGGAACACCAAUGGCGAAGGCAGAUCUCUGGGCCGUAACUGACGCUGAGGAGCGAAAGCAUGGGGAGC
This 709-nucleotide ribosomal RNA is filed under the name uncultured bacterium. RNAcentral describes it as "bacterial SSU rRNA". It matches the Rfam family "Bacterial small subunit ribosomal RNA", at positions 60 to 769 of the family's 1533-position model. The record is from RNAcentral.